RNAcentral lists this ribosomal RNA (440 nucleotides) under Gemella sanguinis. RNAcentral's name for it is "bacterial SSU rRNA". It matches the Rfam family "Bacterial small subunit ribosomal RNA", at positions 28 to 447 of the family's 1533-position model. Lineage: Bacteria; Bacillati; Bacillota; Bacilli; Caryophanales; Gemellaceae. The record is from RNAcentral.
GACGAACGCUGGCGGCGUGCCUAAUACAUGCAAGUCGAGCGAAGUUUUUCUGGUGCUUGCACUAGAAAAAACUUAGCGGCGAACGGGUGAGUAACACGUAAAGAACCUGCCUCAUGGACGGGGACAACUAUUGGAAACGAUAGCUAAUACCGGAUAACAACAUAAAUCGCAUGAUAUAUGUUUAAAAGUUGGUUUCGGCUAACACUAUGAGAUGGCUUUGCGGUGCAUUAGCUAGUUGGUGGGGUAAAGGCCUACCAAGGCGACGAUGCAUAGCCGACCUGAGAGGGUGAUCGGCCACACUGGGACUGAGACACGGCCCAGACUCCUACGGGAGGCAGCAGUAAGGAAUCUUCCGCAAUGGGCGAAAGCCUGACGGAGCAAACGCCCGCGUGAGUGAAGAAAGGAUUUCGGUUUCGUAAAAGCUUCUGGUGUUAGGGAAG